This 245-nucleotide ribosomal RNA is filed under the name uncultured bacterium. Its description in RNAcentral is "partial 16S ribosomal RNA". It matches the Rfam family "Bacterial small subunit ribosomal RNA", at positions 88 to 334 of the family's 1533-position model. The record is from RNAcentral.
AUGGCGACCGGCGCACGGGUGAGUAACACGUAUCCAACCUGCCGAUAACUCUGGAAUAGCCUUUCGAAAGAAAGAUUAAUACCGGAUGGCAUACGAAUAUCGCAUGAUAUUUUUAUUAAAGAAUCUCGGUUAUCGAUGGGGAUGCGUUCCAUUAGUUUGUUGGCGGGGUAACGGCCCACCAAGACAACGAUGGAUAGGGGUUCUGAGAGGAAGGUCCCCCACAUUGGAACUGAGACACGGUCCAA